Molecule: long non-coding RNA, 205 nt
Organism: Oreochromis niloticus (Nile tilapia)
Lineage: Eukaryota; Metazoa; Chordata; Actinopteri; Cichliformes; Cichlidae
Exons: 2
Source: RefSeq, a predicted model, not a curated record
AGACUGCAGGGCAGGCACAAGAGCAGCCUGACUGUAAAGGGUACAAAGUGGGAAAAGGAAAUGGCUGUUGGACCAAUCACAGUAAAGGAGAAACCUCUAAGAUGGAAAAAGGACCUUAUUCAAUAAUAAAGGUCUUUUACACUAAUUAGGCCCAAGUUUGUGUCCUUGGUUUGUUUUAAGGUUGGUGUUAAUUAAAAAAAAAAAU